GGGUUGUGAGGUUAAGCGACUAAGCGUACACGGUGGAUGCCUAGGCAAUCAGAGGCGAUGAAGGACGUGCUAAUCUGCGAUAAGCGUCGGUAAGGUGAUAUGAACCGUUACAACCGACGAUUUCCGAAUGGGGAAACCCAGUGCAAUUCGUUGCACUAUCGUUUGAUGAAUACAUAGUCAAACGAAGCGAACCGGGGGAACUGAAACAUCUCAGUACCCCGAGGAAAAGAAAUCAACCGAGAUUCCCCUAGUAGCGGCGAGCGAACGGGGAGCAGCCCAGAGUCUUAAUCAGCAUUAGCAUCAGGAGAACGGUCUGGAAAGUCCGGCAGUAAAGGGUGAUAGCCCCGUAUCCGAAGGUGUUAGUGUUGUGAACUCGACGAGUAGGGCGGGACACGUGUUAUCCUGUCUGAAUAUGGGGGGACCAUCCUCCAAGGCUAAAUACUCCUGAUUGACCGAUAGUGAACCAGUACCGUGAGGGAAAGGCGAAAAGAACCCCGGCGAGGGGAGUGAAAUAGAACCUGAAACCGUGUACGUACAAGCAGUGGGAGCCUUGAUUUAUCAGGGUGACUGCGUACCUUUUGUAUAAUGGGUCAGCGACUUAUAUUCUGUAGCAAGGUUAACCGAAUAGGGGAGCCGUAGGGAAACCGAGUCUUAACUGGGCGAAUAAGUUGCAGGGUAUAGACCCGAAACCCGGUGAUCUAGCCAUGGGCAGGUUGAAGGUUGGGUAACACUAACUGGAGGACCGAACCGACUAAUGUUGAAAAAUUAGCGGAUGACUUGUGGCUGGGGGUGAAAGGCCAAUCAAACUGGGAGAUAGCUGGUUCUCCCCGAAAGCUAUUUAGGUAGCGCCUCGUGAACUCAUCUUCGGGGGUAGAGCACUGUUUCGACUAGGGGGUCAUCCCGACUUACCAACUCGAUGCAAACUACGAAUACCGAAGAAUGUUAUCACGGGAGACACACGGCGGGUGCUAACGUUCGUCGUGAAGAGGGAAACAACCCAGACCGCCAGCUAAGGUCCCAAAGUCAUAGUUAAGUGGGAAACGAAGUGGGAAGGCUCAGACAGCCAGGAUGUUGGCUUAGAAGCAGCCAUCAUUUAAAGAAAGCGUAAUAGCUCACUGGUCGAGUCGGCCUGCGCGGAAGAUGUAACGGGGCUAAACUAUGCACCGAAGCUGCGGCAGCGAUAUGUAAAUAUUGUUGGGUAGGGGAGCGUUCUGUAAGCCUGUGAAGGUGUGCUGUGAGGCAUGCUGGAGGUAUCAGAAGUGCGAAUGCUGACAUAAGUAACGAUAAUGCGGGUGAAAAACCCGCACGCCGGAAGACCAAGGGUUCCUGUCCAACGUUAAUCGGGGCAGGGUGAGUCGACCCCUAAGGCGAGGCAGAAAUGCGUAGUCGAUGGGAAACGGGUUAAUAUUCCCGUACUGGUGAUAAUUGCGAUGGGGGGACGGAGAAGGCUAGGCUAUCCGGGCGACGGUUGUCCCGGUUUAAGGAUGUAGGCAGGUGAAUUAGGCAAAUCCGGUUCACUAUAUGCUGAGGUCCGAUGACGAGUCACUACGGUGAUGAAGUAGCUCAUGCCCCGCUUCCAGGAAAAGCCUCUAAGCUCUAGAUUAUCAUUAAUCGUACCCCAAACCGACACAGGUGGUCAGGUAGAGAAUACUCAGGCGCUUGAGAGAACUCGGGUGAAGGAACUAGGCAAAAUGGUGCCGUAACUUCGGGAGAAGGCACGCUGGCAUUAGGUGAAGUGAUUUACUCAUGGAGCUGAAGCCAGUCGCAGAUACCAGCUGGCUGCAACUGUUUAUUAAAAACACAGCACUGUGCAAACACGAAAGUGGACGUAUACGGUGUGACGCCUGCCCGGUGCUGGAAGGUUAAUUGAUGGGGUUAUCCGUAAGGAGAAGCUCUUGAUCGAAGCCCCAGUAAACGGCGGCCGUAACUAUAACGGUCCUAAGGUAGCGAAAUUCCUUGUCGGGUAAGUUCCGACCUGCACGAAUGGCGUAAUGAUGGCCAGGCUGUCUCCACCCGAGACUCAGUGAAAUUGAACUCGCUGUGAAGAUGCAGUGUACCCGCGGCAAGACGGAAAGACCCCGUGAACCUUUACUAUAGCUUGACACUGAACAUUGAGCCUUGAUGUGUAGGAUAGGUGGGAGGCUUUGAAGCGUGGACGCCAGUCUGCGUGGAGCCAACCUUGAAAUACCACCCUUUAAUGUUUGAUGUUCUAACGUUGCCCCGUUAUCCGGGGUGCGGACAGUGUCUGGUGGGUAGUUUGACUGGGGCGGUCUCCUCCCAAAGAGUAACGGAGGAGCACGAAGGUUGGCUAAGCAUGGUCGGACAUCAUGCGGUUAGUGCAAAGGCAUAAGCCAGCUUGACUGCGAGAGUGACGGCUCGAGCAGGUACGAAAGUAGGUCUUAGUGAUCCGGUGGUUCUGAAUGGAAGGGCCAUCGCUCAACGGAUAAAAGGUACUCCGGGGAUAACAGGCUGAUACCGCCCAAGAGUUCAUAUCGACGGCGGUGUUUGGCACCUCGAUGUCGGCUCAUCACAUCCUGGGGCUGAAGUAGGUCCCAAGGGUACGGCUGUUCGCCGUUUAAAGUGGUACGCGAGCUGGGUUUAGAACGUCGUGAGACAGUUCGGUCCCUAUCUGCCGUGGGCGUUGGAAGAUUGAAAGGGGCUGCUCCUAGUACGAGAGGACCGGAGUGGACGCACCACUGGUGUUCGGGUUGUCAUGCCAAUGGCAUUGCCCGGUAGCUAAGUGCGGAAGAGAUAACCGCUGAAAGCAUCUAAGCGGGAAACUUGCCUUGAGAUGAGUCUUCCCUGACUCUUUAAGAGUCCUAAAGGAACGUUUAAGACUAAGACGUUGAUAGGUUGGGUGUGUAAGCGUAGCGAUACGUUGAGCUAACCAAUACUAAUGAACCGUGAGGCUUAACCUGACAACACCGAAGGUGUUUUAG
RNAcentral lists this ribosomal RNA (2939 nucleotides) under Providencia rettgeri. Its description in RNAcentral is "23S ribosomal RNA". It matches the Rfam family "Bacterial large subunit ribosomal RNA". Lineage: Bacteria; Pseudomonadati; Pseudomonadota; Gammaproteobacteria; Enterobacterales; Morganellaceae. The record is from RNAcentral.